Molecule: ribosomal RNA, 445 nt
Filed under: uncultured bacterium
Lineage: Bacteria
Description: bacterial SSU rRNA
Rfam family: Bacterial small subunit ribosomal RNA
Source: RNAcentral
AACGAACGCUUGNUGCAUGCUUUAUACAUGCAAGUCGAACGGAGGCCCUAGCUUGCUAGGUGUCCUUAGUGGCGCACGGGUGAGUAACACGUGGGAACAUACCUCAUAGUACGGAAUAACUGCGGGAAACUGUAGCUAAUACCGUAUAUUCCAGUAAUGGGAAAGAUUUAUCGCUAUGAGAUUGGCCCGCGCAAGAUUAGCUUGUUGGUGAGGUAAUGGCUCACCAAGGCUCCGAUCUUUAGCUGGUUUGAGAGGACGAUCAGCCACACUGGGACUGAGACACGGCCCAGACUCCUACGGGAGGCAGCAGUAGGGAAUAUUGGACAAUGGGGGAAACCCUGAUCCAGCAAUGCAGCGUGAGUGACGAAGGCCUUAGGGUUGUAAAACUCUUUCAUCGGUGAGGAUAAUGACAGUAGCCGAAGAAGAAGGACCGGCUAAUUCCGUG